RNAcentral lists this ribosomal RNA (244 nucleotides) under uncultured Staphylococcus sp. RNAcentral's name for it is "partial 16S ribosomal RNA". It matches the Rfam family "Bacterial small subunit ribosomal RNA", at positions 96 to 334 of the family's 1533-position model. The record is from RNAcentral. Lineage: Bacteria; Bacillati; Bacillota; Bacilli; Caryophanales; Staphylococcaceae.
CGGCGGACGGGUGAGUAACACGUGGAUAACCUACCUAUAAGACUGGGAUAACUUCGGGAAACCGGAGCUAAUACCGGAUAAUAUAUUGGACCGCAUGGUUCAAUAGUGAAAGACGGUUUUGCUGUCACUUAUAGAUGGAUCCGCGCCGCAUUAGCUAGUUGGUAAGGUAACGGCUUACCAAGGCAACGAUGCGUAGCCGACCUGAGAGGGUGAUCGGCCACACUGGAACUGAGACACGGUCCAG